ACGCGUCGAACCUUACCUACCCUUGACAUGUCUGGAAUCCUGAAGAGAUUUGGGAGUGCUCGAAAGAGAGCCAGAACACAGGUGCUGCAUGGCCGUCGUCAGCUCGUGUCGUGAGAUGUUGGGUUAAGUCCCGCAACGAGCGCAACCCUUGUCAUUAGUUGCUACGAAAGGGCACUCUAAUGAGACUGCCGGUGACAAACCGGAGGAAGGUGGGGAUGACGUCAGGUCAUCAUGGCCCUUAUGGGUAGGG
RNAcentral lists this ribosomal RNA (250 nucleotides) under uncultured bacterium. RNAcentral's name for it is "partial 16S ribosomal RNA". It matches the Rfam family "Bacterial small subunit ribosomal RNA", at positions 959 to 1213 of the family's 1533-position model. The record is from RNAcentral.